UGUGAAUGUGGAGGAUGGGCCUCAUGGUAUUCCCGCUGCUGGGGUUGGGAGAAGAGAUUUACAGCAUCAUGAACAGAUAUACUUAGCGUGGAAGAGAAGUGAUUCCAUAAUGGAAGAGUGGGGUACAGCUAUUUGGAGAAAAAAAAGUUGUAGACCUUUGGAGAGUACGUCUAACCAGAAGCCAGGUCGCACGCAGAAACUCAGCUCAAAGGGAACUUGGAAAUUCUAGGCUUUGGCUUUCCGGGCUCCAGCAGGCAUCAAGGUCAAGUACAAGGCUAAGAACUCAGAUUCCUGAGCCCCUCACCUCUGCAGUCAGAGGGCAGCCCUGGGCCAGCAGGAGCCACGUGGAGACACGCGGGAGGCUCUGUGAACAGCCACACAGCCCUGAGCUGAGGGGCUGGAUGGAAAGAGCCCGGAUGCAAAAGCCAGGAAGGAAUCCUCCCAGGCAUGAAUGAUGGGCGCACAAAGUGGGCUGCCCAGUCCUACUGUGAAUGACCAGAAUCCCAGGGAGACAGCACUUUCUUCACAUAAACCCUCAGAGCCCAACACUCUGAGUCACCCAGAUAUGCAGAAUCUCUUGCAAGCAAAAAACUGCAUUGAUUGAGGAUGCUUGGUUUUUAGAACUGACCAAAGAUCCACUGGCGAGUCAACUUUCUAAAAGGAAUUGAGCGCCCCCUGCUGGGAAUUCAUUGGCAUUGACAAUAAACUCUUCAAAUGCACCAAAAUCGGAAAAUAAACUUUAGGGAUUUAAUCUUGUGUAAAAACCAGUGACAACAAUAUGAGUCGUGUCGACGGAGUUCUGUGACUUUGGUAAUAGGUUGAACUUUUGAAUGAUUCAUGUCUCCCAAUUUCCUAAUAAAAAUUCUUUGGGUUCUCUGUC
This is a non-coding RNA of Ictidomys tridecemlineatus (thirteen-lined ground squirrel), 880 nucleotides long. NCBI's taxonomy places the organism in Eukaryota, Metazoa, Chordata, Mammalia, Rodentia, Sciuridae. The record is from RefSeq and is a predicted model, not a curated record.